Molecule: non-coding RNA, 30 nt
Filed under: Homo sapiens (human)
Lineage: Eukaryota; Metazoa; Chordata; Mammalia; Primates; Hominidae
Source: RNAcentral
UGGAUUCUUUGCGAGAAAUAACGAAGAGUA